CAUAAGGAGUGACAUCAUUUACUUACCCUCAAGUUGUUCAAAACCUUUAUUAGUCUGUUUAUUCUGCUGAGAAUAAAAUAUUACGAAGAAUGCGAGUCACCAGACGGUUGACGGUAGCCAUCGAUUGGCUUCCAUAGUAUGGAAAAAAUACUAUGUAAGUCAAUAGCCACUUUUUACACAGCAAUACCAGUAAAUUGCCGUAAAAUUACUGGAUUGACUUUACCUGUAAAUACAGAGGUGUACUGUUCAUACAGGCAACAACGUUCCCCAUGUCACAGAUACAGCACCAUUCACACGUCUGAAAAUAAAAUACAGGUAAAUUCUGUGACAUCAUAAACCGGAAAUGACCUCUUAAAAGCUGUGCUUUCGGGGUUGUGUUUGUAAACAUGUUUUAAAUUUUGUGUCAAACGUUCACAUUCAUGCAGCUUUUGGCCCAGAGACAUUGUAUUAGACGACUCCAAACUUAAAUACACAGCGUGGAGUAAAUGUUGGAUUGACCUAGAGUUUUGUUGUUUUUUAUUUGUUAUUUCGUGAACUAGUAUACCUUUAAUAAUUUACUUUUUUUUUUUAGUUUUAAUGAUUUAAUGAAAAUGUAUUUAAGAGCUCACGUUGAAUUUUCGACAAUUGAUGAGAGUUGUGUAAAUGUAAAGCGUCUUGAAGAAGAAGAAGAAGAAGAGUGCACAGAUAAGACAGACCGAGAUAAGGCGGAAGAAAAGCUAAUCAGCUCUAAUGAGCCUUCAAGGAAACCAUGGCAACAAUCGCAGUCAUGAAUCAGAGGUGAGGUGGAUCAUUUUCCCCAUGAUCGAUGAUCACACUCUAUCAAUCCUCAGUGCAGUAAAGUCAAAAAUAUAAUAACCCCCAACUGUAAUUUAUGUUCUUAACAUUUGGACAGAGUGUGUGCUGUAUGUAAAGAAGGUUCUGGUUUGUUUUGCUAGCAUGGAGUGGUCCUGCUAUGCCCUGUUAGGCAUCAUCACCGCUCUAAUGAGCUUCUUCAUGGAUAUGACUGUAUCCAAGCUGCUGAAUGGUGAGCGGUUCCACCAUGUCACUCAAAAAAUGGUUACUACAAAACUUACAUAAAGAUGCAGGUUGGUGGGUUAAGUGUUUGAUCAAUGUAGCAUUCUAGCAGCUGAGUAGGGCAAAGUCUUUCAAAAAGAGACCUGAAAUUAGAUGCUUUUGCAUUUAUCAUGCAUUGUUAAACCUCAGCAUGCGUCCUUCUCUCUUUUUAGCUCACCAACGGCUGUAUGAAUGUCUGAAGGGUCACCACCUGCUGCAGUUCCUCUGCUGGACGCUUUAUCCAGCCUGUCUGUGUGCUCUGUCCACCAGCAUCUGCCCAUUCUCUGCAGAAACCACCCAGGCCCUGUUUAAAACCAGCUUUUCUUCUGAUCUGCCUUACCAGCCUUUUGAAAUAUGUAUUUUCGCUCUGCUUGGGUAAGUUCUCAUUUUGGUGAUGGAUAGUCAUAAGUUAGAUACUGCUUACUCAUCUGUUACCUCAGGGUUUGGAUUAUAUUAUAUUAGAUUAUGUGUUCAUGAAGCAGUAAUUGUUCUUAUCAUCAUUUUUUUUCUCUGAUUCAGGCUGUUCUGCAAUUUUCUCAGAUUUAUUUAUUUAUUCUGUCAUCACUGGGCUCUGCGUCUCAUCAAAACAAACAAACCCAUCAGCAGAUUUUUGGCAACAGAGUGAGAAAGAUUUAUUCCCAUAGACAUACUGUACAGUUUGACACAAUUAUUUUUCUUUCUUUCUUUCUUUGUAUAAACGAGACACCACUAGUGAAAUGCUCGUAAUUUCACACAUUUUUCUUUAGUUGAAUAGAAUAACAUUCAGAAUAACAAUGUGAAUUAAAAGGUUAGCUUCAAAUAUUUACAUGUCUUCCUCCAUAAAAUGUUUAAAAUGAGAUUUGUAAUCCUCUGGUCUCCGAUUUAUGGACGUCACUGUAUGGUGACCGCAGAUGUAUGUCUUUUGAUUGGAUGCCUGGAGAUGUCGUGAUCUAACCCAGAGCUGCCUCUUGUUCGUAUUCAUAAUCUUAUCCAGAAAGUCACUAUAUUCAGCCAUAGUGGCAUUUCUCCUCGCCUGCUUUACGUUUUCUCACUCGGCGGGAUAUUUCAUAGCUGCUGAGGUGAGGACAGGCCUAUAUCUAGAAUAUUGGCAGUGUGUCCAACUUAUGUGCUCACCGUUCAUCCAUUGUAUUUACUUUAAAUUUCUCUUUGUUUUCUAAUAGCUCACAAUGAAGCAGCGACGUACUUCACUGUUAGACAGCACUUCCUGGUACACCGUUUCCCAGAAUGCCUCUGUCCUGCUUGAACCUCAGAAAACAUGCAUUCUUGGAACCCACCUGGCACAAGUUACUUCCAAACACUAAGAUUUUUCAUUACUGCCAAGGUUGGGCUAUUGGUCGUGGCUUGUAUUUUGUCUUUACCUGCUGGAUAUUUAAUGCCAGUAUUUGUUUACGAUGCUGCGGUGGGGCGUUUGGUAGUCGAGGGUUCGGCCUAUUUGUUCUCAGACGGAAUCUCAUCAGCAAAAACUUUGCUAAACCCGGGUGGCUACGCUUUAGCAGGAGCAGUUGCCUUCUCUGGGGCUGACACACACACACUCUCUCCUGCUCUGUUGGCUCUGGAAAUGACCGGGCAGUGCUCUCACGCCGUCCCCGCUGUGGUUGCUACACUGGUAUCCAAUGCAGUGGCAGGUGCAAAGCACCAUCCAUCUUUCUACGAUGGCAUAUCGCUUAUUAAACAGCUGCCGCACUUGCUAUCUCUCAUCUGCACUUGUCCGAAGCUGGCCAAUGUUCAGAUCAAGCAGUUUGUGAUCCCAGCAGGAGUUGUGCUGGAGAGGACAGAGACACUGGCAAGUCUGCAGCACAUCCUAAACGCAGAUGGCCAGUUUCCUGUAGUGGACUCUCACGGCUCAUUGCAUCAUGAGUGUCACGGGUGAGCAGCGUCUGUUUAUAACGGAGAGUGGGCGGCUGUGUGGCGUCAUCACACGGAAAGAGACCCUUCCAAAGGCGAGAUCCUCUGCACCUGCGGCGGACGCUGCGUGUUCAGCGGAGAAUGAGAAUGACUGGGGGAAUGAGACUGAGGAGGAUGAGAAGGUGCUAGAGAGCUGGUGUCAUCAGCUUCCAUGUGCAUUCCGUACAUGUGCCGAGGAACACUCAAACUCCCUCCAUCCAACAGGAACUGAGAAAGAUAAGGGCCCUCGGGGUCUGUGAAGACAUCGUCAUCAUUGUGAGAGCAGGAAUUAAAAAGACCUCAUGC
Molecule: RNA transcript, 3243 nt
Organism: Carassius auratus (goldfish)
Lineage: Eukaryota; Metazoa; Chordata; Actinopteri; Cypriniformes; Cyprinidae
Gene name: chloride channel protein ClC-Kb-like
Exons: 8
Source: RefSeq, a predicted model, not a curated record